CCCUCUUUUUACUUCCAAAAUGUUGGGAGGUAUGGGGUCUAGAUUAGCUGAGUGACACGGCUAAUAGGAUGAGGUGCGCGGAUGGAUACCGUUAUUAUCAGGCACAUGCCAAGUAGUGCGUAAGAAACAGAUAGGCUGCUACAGAUAUCAGGCGGGACAGUUGUGUUUCUAUGGGUCCCCUUUAACCCAAACUAAAACCUGCCUCUCAAGUAGUUUUGCAGGUGGCUCACAGAUCAUAUACCGAAACCCACAGCAAUUUGUAAGCCAUUUUGAACUGAACCUUCUUUACCUCAUGAAUCAGCGGUUCUUCAAAAACAGUCCACAAAUGAAUGAACAGAAAUGUUGAAUAAACAGUCUCUAUGUAUCAUCUUACAGCAAAUGCCUACUUUCACCCCAAUGGUCCUGGAUUUGUGACUUGGGGACACUUCACUUCUGCUGCUUCCAUGGUGCCUUCAAAGAGAAGCUUAGGUCUUUUAGGACCUUUAGAAUUGUCUGUUUCCUCAGACACUUUACAAAGUCCUGAAGGACUUUGGCUGCAUCCAUCACCAGGCAAGGCCUUCUCUCUACAUAUGUUGAGUUGAUGUUUCCUUGGACAAUCACCUAUUUUUUUUAACUUCCCAUCUUUACACACCUCAUCUUUUUUAAUUGAAGGUGCAUUGGGCAUCUGUGAUGUUAUAUUGUGAGACACAAGGCAAAUGGUGUCAUUUCUGCUGGAAUCAGUUAAAUCUGUUUGGUCUUUUUUAUCUCUAAACUUUUGACAUUGAUCUACUGUAGUUUUGUUUGAAUCAAGAUCAGAAUGUAGCUUUUCAUCCACAGAUUCUUCUUGAUAUUUGGAUGCGCAACAAAAUUCUGCCAAGUAGCCAUCUACAAACAAAACAUAAGGCUAUCAAACCAACAAUCUAAUUGAAUAUUCAAUAAAAAAUAUUACUUUUA
Molecule: long non-coding RNA, 933 nt
Organism: Xenopus laevis (African clawed frog)
Lineage: Eukaryota; Metazoa; Chordata; Amphibia; Anura; Pipidae
Exons: 3
Source: RefSeq, a predicted model, not a curated record